GGGGGUGUGGCGCAACGGUAGCGCGUCAGAUUCCAGAUCUGGAGCUUCCUGAAGGCUGUGCGUUCAAAUCGCACCAUCCUCA
RNAcentral lists this transfer RNA (82 nucleotides) under Neofusicoccum parvum UCRNP2. Its description in RNAcentral is "tRNA-Trp (CCA) (tRNA-Trp-CCA-1-1)". It matches the Rfam family "tRNA". Rfam says of the family: Transfer RNA (tRNA) molecules are approximately 80 nucleotides in length. Their secondary structure includes four short double-helical elements and three loops (D, anti-codon, and T loops). Further hydrogen bonds mediate the characteristic L-shaped molecular structure. tRNAs have two regions of fundamental functional importance: the anti-codon, which is responsible for specific mRNA codon recognition, and the 3' end, to which the tRNAs corresponding amino acid is attached (by aminoacyl-tRNA synthetases). tRNAs cope with the degeneracy of the genetic code in two manners: having more than one tRNA (with a specific anti-codon) for a particular amino acid; and 'wobble' base-pairing, i.e. permitting non-standard base-pairing at the 3rd anti-codon position. The record is from RNAcentral. Lineage: Eukaryota; Fungi; Ascomycota; Dothideomycetes; Botryosphaeriales; Botryosphaeriaceae.